RNAcentral lists this ribosomal RNA (440 nucleotides) under uncultured bacterium. RNAcentral describes it as "bacterial SSU rRNA". It matches the Rfam family "Bacterial small subunit ribosomal RNA", at positions 338 to 793 of the family's 1533-position model. The record is from RNAcentral.
CCUACGGGUGGCAGCAAGUGGGAAUAUUGCACAAUGGGCGAAAGCCUGAUGCAGCGACGCCGCGUGAGGGAUGAAGGUCUUCGGAUCGUAAACCUCUUUUAUCAACUAGGAAGAUAUGACCAGUUGAUGAAUAAGCACCUGCUAACUACGUGCCAGCAGCCGCGGUAAUACGUAGGGUGCAAGCGUUAUCCGGAAUUAUUGGGCGUAAAGAGAUGCGUAGGUGGUUUAUCAAGUUUUUGGUGAAAGCCUUCGGCUUAACCGAAGAAUUGCCAAGAAAACUGGUAAACUUAGAGGGAAUCAGGGGGUGCUGGAACUCGUGGUGUAGUAGUAAAAUGCGUUGAUAUCACGAGGAACACCAAAGGCGAAGGCAGGCACCUGGGAUUCACCUGACACUGAGGCUCGAAAGCGUGGGGAGCGAAACGGAUUAGAUACCCUAGUAG